UUAAAUUGAAGAGUUUGAUCAUGGCUCAGAUUGAACGCUGGCGGCAGGCCUAACACAUGCAAGUCGAACGGUAACAGGAAGCAGCUUGCUCUCGGGUGACGAGUGGCGGACGGGUGAGUAAUGUCUGGGAAACUGCCUGAUGGAGGGGGAUAACUACUGGAAACGGUGGCUAAUACCGCAUAACGUCGCAAGACCAAAGAGGGGGACCUUCGGGCCUCUUGCCAUCAGAUGUGCCCAGAUGGGAUUAGCUGGUUGGUGAGGUAACGGCUCACCAAGGCGACGAUCCCUAGCUGGUCUGAGAGGAUGACCAGCCACACUGGAACUGAGACACGGUCCAGACUCCUACGGGAGGCAGCAGUGGGGAAUAUUGCACAAUGGGCGCAAGCCUGAUGCAGCCAUGCCGCGUGUAUGAAGAAGGCCUUCGGGUUGUAAAGUACUUUCAGCGGGGAGGAAGGUGUUGUGGUUAAUAAC
Molecule: ribosomal RNA, 471 nt
Filed under: Salmonella enterica subsp. enterica serovar Agona
Lineage: Bacteria; Pseudomonadati; Pseudomonadota; Gammaproteobacteria; Enterobacterales; Enterobacteriaceae
Description: bacterial SSU rRNA
Rfam family: Bacterial small subunit ribosomal RNA
Source: RNAcentral